RNAcentral lists this non-coding RNA (29 nucleotides) under Macaca fascicularis (crab-eating macaque). The record is from RNAcentral. RNAcentral also lists the same sequence under 1 other name. Lineage: Eukaryota; Metazoa; Chordata; Mammalia; Primates; Cercopithecidae.
UAGGAGCACAAGGAAUGCCUCAUUAGCUG